AGAAAGUCUAGAAAAAUUGUGGCUCAUUAUGCCAAUUACUUCGGUCCCUUCAGUUUUGACCGCACUCACCGCUUGAUGGCGCCCCAGCUUGUUGUUUCUGGUGAGAGUGUCCUGAAAAAAUAAAAAUCAUCAACGCAGGCCUAGAUACAGAAAAUUAAAUAUAAACAAAAUUUCCUCACAACGACUUCACCAGUCAUGAGAACGUGAACGCCAAGAUUUGUUCGUUUACUGUUUAAUUCCUUCCGAUUCGGCAAUCCGAGUGCGUUCGUGCUAAACGAGAAUGUGGUGCUGCAUUUUUUUCUGAGGGAGCUGUAUGACUUUUACGUUAGCAAGAGGAGGAGCCUUUAAUUUUAAUCAUGAACACUGAAACGACCGGCACCGUUUUUCAUAUGAAGAACCGCGGAGUGUGCGUUUGUUCGCUGGAAGUUUUGACCGCAUUGUAGCCGUGUUCUACUCGAAACAAUUGGAUUACAACACAUUGCACAAUGGCUGCGAAACAGCUGGUCGGAGUUUUCGGUUAUCAAUUGGUGCUAGGUUGGCGACAUAUGCGAAUAUCCCUGUAUAAAAACAGUCACCCCGUGCGACUGGCAAAAUGCAGAAUUGACCUAUUGUGUUCGUAUGCGGGAGUCCUCGAAAAUAAUAUCAAUGAUCACAUUAUGGUUCUACACUGUGUCGGUAACAAGUGGUAAACGGCAAAGACGCAAUAAACGUGACGAAUUGACUGUUUUUUUUUAAUGGGACGCAUCUCCCAGAUCGAAAUAUGAUCCCGCUUUGAGGGAACACCAAGCAAUCAGGAUCCAAAUAAAUCAAUUGCCAUUAUGGAGAAUCCACCACUGUCCUACAGUGAUGGCCAAUUGAAUACUUCGAUCACUAUUCUCACGGUUAGUGUUCCAUCCGAGCUGACGCGAAGUUCUGAGAAUGAGAUCGUAUUAUAAUCAUUAAAAGUACACAGAAAGUAUUUGCUUGCUAAAUAAAUAAUUGUUAUUUUUAUA
Molecule: long non-coding RNA, 992 nt
Organism: Topomyia yanbarensis
Lineage: Eukaryota; Metazoa; Arthropoda; Insecta; Diptera; Culicidae
Exons: 3
Source: RefSeq, a predicted model, not a curated record